Anopheles merus is the source of this 947-nucleotide long non-coding RNA. RefSeq lists it as uncharacterized. The record is from RefSeq and is a predicted model, not a curated record. Lineage: Eukaryota; Metazoa; Arthropoda; Insecta; Diptera; Culicidae. The transcript has 5 exons.
CCAUUUUCCAGCAGUUCCAGGCCGUUGUAACAGAACUCAAGGACGACCACCCACUGGUUGCUGACCCACGGGCUGGCUGGCUGGCUGGCUGUGGCAGGGAAGGCGCUGCCAGUAGAGUAGAAUUUCAGCCCGCACGUGGAAUAAUAAUAAAUCACCAACAACGGACAAAACUGAGGUGAAAAAAGAAAGAGGAAAAAAAUCCAACUUUCCCCUCCAGCAGAAGAAGAAAACACCGCGCACACCGAUUGGACAAACUGUAUUCGCCCGGUGCGGGUUACACUUGAAUGUGUCCACGUUCUGCAAACGAAACACAGACACACGUAGACAUCGUAGAAGGCUGGCGCGCUUAAAAUUGCCUAAGACACGGUGGCCUACAUUGAAACCAACAGUGGGUUCGCGGUCACCUGCGUGCGCGUAGGUUGCGGAGGAACGUUUGUCGGAAGAACGAAGAAUUGUUGGAGCACAAGACCACAACACAAGAAGCAAGAGAUGCUGAAGUUGGGAGGUUGAAUGAAGGUACCAAAGUAAGCCAUGGCUUUUUGUUGGAUGUUGCUGUCAAGUAACAGUGACCUACACGCAAUUCUAGCAAACAGUACUGGGGGGGUACAAAACUCGCGGCAGAAAGCAAUCACCUUAAAGCAACACUCUUUCCACAUCGGCGGUUCGGUCCAGAAACUCCGAAAGUUUUGAAAAAAAAGAAAUCAGCUGACACAAAACAAUUCACCAAUAUGGCGGACUAUCGGAUAGCUGUUUAUGACUUUCACUUUCGUUGCGCGUUCAACAGGCCUUGGUUGGUUCGGAAGAAUGUGGAAUUAGAAAAAGUAAAACGGAGAAAAUAUUAUAGCCCACAAAAACGCAAGUCCAGUACUCUACAGCAAAAAUAGAUGCAGCUUGUGUCGACAGGAUAUCAAAUUGGAACGUUCCAAGGAUCAAAUACCACGUAGGAA